This 73-nucleotide transfer RNA is filed under the name Dendronephthya gigantea. RNAcentral's name for it is "tRNA-Lys". It matches the Rfam family "tRNA". From Rfam's summary of the family: Transfer RNA (tRNA) molecules are approximately 80 nucleotides in length. Their secondary structure includes four short double-helical elements and three loops (D, anti-codon, and T loops). Lineage: Eukaryota; Metazoa; Cnidaria; Anthozoa; Malacalcyonacea; Nephtheidae. The record is from RNAcentral.
GCCCGGUUAGCUCAGUUGGUAGAACAUCAGACUUUUAAUCUGAGGGCCAUGGGUUCGAGUCCCAUAUCGGGCU